RNAcentral lists this ribosomal RNA (505 nucleotides) under uncultured Methylobacter sp. RNAcentral describes it as "bacterial SSU rRNA". It matches the Rfam family "Bacterial small subunit ribosomal RNA", at positions 995 to 1504 of the family's 1533-position model. Lineage: Bacteria; Pseudomonadati; Pseudomonadota; Gammaproteobacteria; Methylococcales; Methylococcaceae. The record is from RNAcentral.
AUCCUGCAGAGAUGCGGGAGUGCCCGAAAGGGAAUCUGGACACAGGUGCUGCAUGGCUGUCGUCAGCUCGUGUCGUGAGAUGUUGGGUUAAGUCCCGCAACGAGCGCAACCCUUAUCAUUAGUUGCUACGCAAGGGCACUCUAAUGAGACUGCCGGUGACAAACCGGAGGAAGGUGGGGAUGACGUCAAGUCCUCAUGGCCCUUAUGAGCAGGGCUUCACACGUCAUACAAUGGUCGGUACAGAGGGUUGCCAACCCGCGAGGGGGAGCCAAUCCCACAAAGCCGAUCGUAGUCCGGAUUGCAGUCUGCAACUCGACUGCAUGAAGUCGGAAUCGCUAGUAAUCGCAGGUCAGCAUACUGCGGUGAAUACGUUCCCGGGCCUUGUACACACCGCCCGUCACACCAUGGGAGUGGGUUGCUCCAGAAGUGGUUAGCCUAACCUUCGGGGGGGCGAUCACCACGGAGUGAUUCAUGACUGGGGUGAAGUCGUAACAAGGUAACCGUA